AUGAUCUUGCAUGUGCGUAGGAAUUUUUUUGAAAUUACUACGUUCCCCAACACGGCCAUGAUGAAGGGCGCCGCUCGGCUAUGGAGACUGGUUCUUGAGGUGCAUCUGGUGGACUCCAAGGGCCUCUUCGGCAGCGAUUUCCUAGGGAAGAUAGACCCGUAUGUGAUCGUGCAGUACCGGAGCCAGGAGCGCAAGAGCAGCACCUCCCGAGGUCGGUGCCUCCGCAGCACCUCCCGAGAUGAGGGGAGGAACCCGAGCUGGAAUGAGGUGUUCCGGUUCCAGAUCAACUCCUCCGCCGCCAACGGGCAGCACAAGCUCUUCCUCCGGAUCAUGGACCACGACAACUUCUCCAGCGACGACUUCCUCGGCCAGGCAACGAUCAAUGUGUCUGAUCUGAUCACCCUUGGCAUGGAGAGCGGCUCGUCGCAGCAGAACCCGGCCACCGGCCACCGCCCGGAAGCUGGUGUCGUGGUCGAGCUGGGCGGAGUGGUGCUUCGUCUGCGACGCCAUCUUCUCCCCAUACCCCGACCCUGGCGCUGCUCUUCGCAGGACCGCGGCGUGUCGGAGAAGGGGCUGCCUCCCGAUCCCCGUGGAGGUCACUGCGGCCCUCUUCGAGAUAAGGCUGCGGGAUCCCUUCUUCCGGACUGGAGUGGCUUCAGAUGA
RNAcentral lists this ribosomal RNA (663 nucleotides) under Triticum aestivum (bread wheat). RNAcentral's name for it is "partial small subunit ribosomal RNA". Lineage: Eukaryota; Viridiplantae; Streptophyta; Magnoliopsida; Poales; Poaceae. The record is from RNAcentral.